RNAcentral lists this long non-coding RNA (294 nucleotides) under Capsicum annuum. RNAcentral's name for it is "long non-coding RNA (CANN_LNC006731)". The record is from RNAcentral. Lineage: Eukaryota; Viridiplantae; Streptophyta; Magnoliopsida; Solanales; Solanaceae.
GUAUUUUCUAAGUUUUCUUUAUUAAUUACUUCUUGUUUUUCAUUUAUUUCUAGUUUUUCUAUAUUUGUUAAGAUUUCUGUAUAUGUUUCACUAUUUUCCGAAUCAUAAUUAUCUGCUUCUUCAGCAUCUAUUGUAUUUAUUUUUAUUUCAUUAGUUUCUAAUUCUUUAUUUCUUUCUUCUAAUUCUUUUUUAAAUUGAUUUAUCUUAGUUAAUAAUUUUUGUUUUUUAUCUUUUUCUGUGUUUUUUCAUACAGAUCUUUUAGCAUUUAUAGUUCUUUUUCUAAUUCAGCAAUCC